CCUACGGGUGGCUGCAGUGGGGAAUAUUGGACAAUGGGGGCAACCCUGAUCCAGCCAUGCCGCGUGUGUGAAGAAGGCCCUCGGGUUGUAAAGCACUUUCAGUGAGGAAGAACGCCUGGUGGUUAAUACCCAUCAGGAAAGACAUCACUCACAGAAGAAGCACCGGCUAACUCCGUGCCAGUAGCCGCGGUAAUACGGAGGGUGCGAGCGUUAAUCGGAAUUACUGGGCGUAAAGCGCGCGUAGGUGGCUUGAUAAGCCGGUUGUGAAAGCCCCGGGCUCAACCUGGGAACGGCAUCCGGAACUGUCAAGCUAGAGUGCAGGAGAGGAAGGUAGAAUUCCCGGUGUAGCGGUGAAAUGCGUAGAGAUCGGGAGGAAUACCAGUGGCGAAGGCGGCCUUCUGGACUGACACUGACACUGAGGUGCGAAAGCGUGGGUAGCAAACAGGAUUAGAUACCCCGGUAGUC
RNAcentral lists this ribosomal RNA (465 nucleotides) under Vreelandella stevensii. RNAcentral's name for it is "partial 16S ribosomal RNA". It matches the Rfam family "Bacterial small subunit ribosomal RNA", at positions 338 to 795 of the family's 1533-position model. The record is from RNAcentral. Lineage: Bacteria; Pseudomonadati; Pseudomonadota; Gammaproteobacteria; Oceanospirillales; Halomonadaceae.